CCCUAUUGAGAUUCGCGCACAGUAUAUUAAAUCAUUUACCUAUUGUAAUAUCUAACAGACAGAAUCCGUACAAGACAGAAUCGGCAAUAUUUAUCAACCAAAAGAUAUUUGUUAUCUCAAAGAAACCAGCAUGCAGAAGACAUUCCUACUCACCACUGUUGUUCUGAUUCUCGCGUUCAUUUCUCUAGGGGGAACAUCUGAGCAAUCGGAGGAUGAAUACACGCUGGUCAAACGGCCAAUGCACAUGCUCCGGCUCGGGAGAAGGGACGCUGAAGAACCAGCUGAGGACAACGAGCAAUCUUUAAGCGAUCGACACGAGCAUGAAAAUGCAGGGAAUUAAUGACGUACCAAAAGAAGGUGUCGCCAAGGGUGGUGAUCCAAAAUGCUGAAAAUGAAUUUUAAUUUAUACCUUAUGUUUGUGAUCAUUGAAUAAAAUAAUAAUUUGUCAUUUUAAUCAAUUUACUGUUUAACGAUACACAUUAAUGAUAAUAAUUAGUCAAUUAAAACAUUCUCUUGCACAGAAAAUCUUCAAAAAAGGAAAUUAAAAUUAUAAAAAACUU
Molecule: long non-coding RNA, 560 nt
Organism: Physella acuta
Lineage: Eukaryota; Metazoa; Mollusca; Gastropoda; Physidae
Source: RefSeq, a predicted model, not a curated record